RNA transcript from Corvus hawaiiensis (hawaiian crow), 2323 nucleotides. It is a transcript of the gene named lysophosphatidic acid receptor 2, with no coding region annotated. Lineage: Eukaryota; Metazoa; Chordata; Aves; Passeriformes; Corvidae. The transcript is spliced from 4 exons. The record is from RefSeq and is a predicted model, not a curated record.
GUUUUCCCACCUCCUCCUCCCCCCCAUCCCCUCCCCGCCCCUCGGCCCCUCCCGCUUUUCCGUCGGAAUUCCGCACUCUCCGCGUUUCUCCCAUCCCCUCCACGCUCAGGGCUCAUUCCCAGCGCUUGGAAUGCGCCGAAUUUUUGGGAAAUUCUCCCAAGUUUGGUUUUUUCCUUUCCCGCAGCCCCCCCGCCAUGAGGCACUGCUUCUACAACGAGACCGUCGGCUUUUUCUACAACAACAGCCGCAAGGAGCUCAGCGCGCACUGGCGGCCCAAGGACGUGCUGGUGGUGGCCCUGGGGCUAGCGGUCAGCGCCGUGGUGCUGCUCACCAACCUGCUGGUCAUCGCCGCCAUCGCCGCCAACCGCCGCUUCCACUACCCCAUCUACUACCUGCUGGCCAACCUGGCGGCCGCCGACCUCUUCGCGGGCGUGGCCUACAUGUUCCUCAUGUUCCACACGGGCCCGCGCACGGCCCAGCUGUCGCUCAAGACUUGGUUCAUCCGCCAGAGCUUGCUGGACACCAGCUUGACCGCCUCGGUGGUCAACCUGCUGGCCAUCGCCGUGGAGAGGCACCGGACGGUGCUGACCAUGCAGCUGCACAGCGAGAUGUCGGCGCAGCGCGUGGUGGGCUUGAUCUUCUUCAUCUGGGCCACGGCGCUGCUGCUGGGGCUGAUCCCGUCCUACGGCUGGCACUGCCUGUGCUCGCUGGAGAGCUGCUCCAAGAUGGCGCCGCUCUACAGCCGCAGCUACCUGACCUUCUGGGCCGUGUCCAACCUGCUGGUCUUCGUGGUCAUGGUGCUGGUCUACGGCCACAUCUUCGUCUACGUGCGCAGGAAGAUGGCGCGCGUGGCGCGGCACACGGGCGCCCACCCGCGGCACCGCGACACCAUGGUGGGGCUGGUCAAGACGGUCACCAUUAUCUUGGGUGGGUGUCAUUAGGGGUCAUUAGGGGUCAUUAAGUGGGUUGGUCACCAUCAUCCUGGGUGGGUGGUUAAUUAGGGGUCAUUAGGGGUCAUUAGGAGUCAUUAAGUGGGUUGGUCAUCAUCAUCUUGGGUGGGUGGUUAAUUAGGGGUUAAUUGGGUUGGGUGGGUUGUUAGAUGGGGUCAUUAAGUGGGUUGGUCAUCAUCAUCUUGGGUGGGUGGUUAAUUAGGAGUAAUUAGGGGUCAUUACACGGGCGCCCACCCACGCCACCAUGACACCAUGGUGGGGCUGGUCAAGACGGUCACCAUUAUCUUGGGUGGGUGUAAUUAGGGGUCAUUAGGGUUAAUUAGGGGUUAAUUGGGUUGGGUGAGUUGUUAGAGAGGUUGGUCACCAUCAUCUUGGGUGGGUGGUAAAUUAGGGGUAAUUAGGGGUCAUUACACGGGCACCCACCCGCGGCACCGCGACACCAUGGUGGGGCUGGUCAAGACGGUCACCAUUAUCUUGGGUGGGUGUCAUUAGGGGUCAUUAGGGGUUAAUUGGGGGUCAUUAAGUGGGUUGGUCACCAUCAUCUUGGGUGGGUGGUAAAUUAGGGGUAAUUAGGGGUCAUUACACGGGCGCCCACCCGCGGCACCGCGACACCAUGGUGGGGCUGGUCAAGGUCCCCAUCAUCCUCGGUGGGUAGUUAAUUAGGGAUAAUUAGGGGUCAUUACACGGGCGCCCACCCGCGGCACCGCGACACCAUGGUGGGGCUGGUCAAGGUCCCCAUCAUCCUCGGUGGGUAGUUAAUUAGGGAUAAUUAGGGGUCAUUACACGGGCGCCCACCCGCGGCACCGCGACACCAUGGUGGGGCUGGUCAAGGUCCCCAUCAUCCUCGGUGGGUAGUUAAUUAGGGAUAAUUAGGGGUCAUUACACGGGCGCCCACCCGCGGCACCGCGACACCAUGGUGGGGCUGGUCAAGACGGUCACCAUUAUCUUGGGUGGGUGUCAUUAGGGGUCAUUAGGGGUCAUUAAGAGUCAUUAAGUGGGUUGGUCAUCAUCAUCUUGGGUGGGUGGUUAAUUAGGGGUUAAUUGGGUUGGGUGGGUUGUUAGAUGGGGUCAUUAAGUGGGUUGGUCAUCAUCAUCUUGGGUGGGUGGUUAAUUAGGAGUAAUUAGGGGUCAUUACACAGGCGCCCACCCACGCCACCACGACACCAUGGUGGGGCUGGUCAAGAUGGUCACCAUUAUCUUGGGUGGGUGUAAUUAGGGGUCAUUAGGGUUAAUUAGGGGUUAAUUGGGUUGGGUGAGUUGUUAGAGAGGUUGGUCACCAUUAUCUUGGGUGCCUUCGUGAUCUGCUGGACGCCAGGCCAGGUGGUGCUGCUGCUGGACGGGCUGGGUUGCCAGAGCUGCGACGUGCUGGCCGU